This 6795-nucleotide long non-coding RNA is filed under the name Sus scrofa (pig). Its description in RNAcentral is "lncRNA (ENSSSCG00065043495.1)". The record is from RNAcentral. Lineage: Eukaryota; Metazoa; Chordata; Mammalia; Artiodactyla; Suidae.
AGGCCCAGAGAGGUUAAGUAAGUUGCGUGAGGUUGCACAGCUGGUAGGGAUGUGGUAAAAAUUUAGCCCAGGCCAACUUUUAACCACCUCAUUGUCCUGACUUCUCAAAUGCUUAAGAAAUUGAAACUGGGUUUCUUUUUUUUCUUUCUUUAUAUCUGUCUUCCCAGAGUAAACUUAGAACAAAAUCACUUCAUACUCAUUAAUAAAUACAGAAAUUCUUAAAGUGGUAAAUAUUCCCAGCUUUAUGAUUUUGAGGUUUUUUUUUUUUUAAAAAAAGCCUUCAGAUUGGCAUAUUAACAAGCAUCUUGACAUGUCUUGCUUUAAUUAUGCUGACAGCUAUUUCUUUUUUGUUUCUAAUGUAGAGGUUGAUCAGGAAAAUUUGUGUUUUAUUGCUUACAGUCUUACCUUAAUGCUACCUAAAUCACUACUAUAUGAUUUGGCAUCUAUAAUUUAUCAUUUUCCUCAGCUAUUAGAUGAAAUGCCCUUUAAAGCAUUCCACAGCAAGGUGAACAGAAGUCAAAGCUUGCAAAGUUCUAGAAAAAAAGAAUUGCAAAGAAUCAUUAAAGAAUAAUGAAAGUUGAUUUAUAUAGCAUACAAUAUCAGGGCUGCCCAGUUUAACAAACAUAAUUAUUCCAAGUCGUUUUCAGAAUGCCUCACAAUUUCAGCACCUAAUUUUCCUCAUCUUUUAAGGAAUAAAAACAGAAAUGCCUUAUUUUUUUAUAAAAACUCUAAAAGCAAAAUCUUUAAUUCAUUUCUCUAGAUUUCACCAAAGCUAAGGCUGCAACAAUAGACGGUUUAAAAUACAGAAAACCCAGAUUCCUUUUACUGUGGUGUGGCUUUAACAUUCUACUGCUGUAGCCAGAAGUCCUUGGCUUCUGGGGCCAACUGCCUUUUGCAUGCUGAUUUUGCAGAGAGAGUCUCUCAGGAGUUAUUACUUUUGAGUAGUAUCUAUGAUGACUUCAGUCUCUGCAGGAAGUGGGAGGUAGCAUAGUUUGGAAAUGAAAACACUGAGGGAAAAAAAUCCCUCCCAGUAGAAUCGUCAACUCAAUCUAAUUUUAGGUUCCAGGCAGACCACAUAGCUAGCUGUACCUUCAGCUACCUACACACGUAUGCCUCUCUGGUGCCCAUCAUUGAAGGCUACAACCAGGACUUAAGGAAAAAUAAAUACAAAAAUAAUUAAGUUUUCUAUCAUAACAUUUUUUAGUAAAAUAGGUGAUGUGUGAGAAUGCCUUGUCUGUGUACCCCCACGUUCAAGUAUUCAUGGUGCUCAGAAUAAGGUCAGUCCAAAAGGGUUUCUUUCUAUUUUUACACAAACUCUAUUUAAUUUUUCCUUUAAACUUCUCACAACAAAAAGGACUGACAGUCCCAGGCUUAAGACCUCAGAAAACCGUAUUACUGAGUUAUGUGAAACAGGAAUACGAGACAUUUUUGAUAAUAGUUUUUACAUGGUAGCUAUUUUGAUAGAGAAACAACUAAAUCAACUCUAACAAAGGUCUUUGGAGAGGAAAUGGUUAAAAGGGCAUGUUUUGUCUUUUCUAAAAGGAAAACCCACAGCAAAGUAUUCCAGUUAGGGAUAAAUUAAAGAGCACUACCCUUUUCUGGAAGGGCCAGGAAGUCAAACUCUUGGCCUUGAGCUGUUUCUCACCCCCACCCAAGCCGACCCUGGGAACAAGCCACUCCUGACUCUGUGUGACCUCAGUAGCUGCUGCCAAACCUUGUCAUUCCUCUGGAGAAAACAGCCAGGGAUUUUCACCAGAGGCCUCCGGCCAGCAUCAGACUCAGGAGAUGGCUCAGGUGCCAGGGGCCUUUCUGUGUGGGCUUUCAUACUGUCUGCAAAGGAAAAUUCACUAAACUCACUGAAGCCAAAUCUGACAUUUUAAAAAGUCUCCAAAAGAAGUUUCUUAAGCUGUUUUGCAAUUAGAAGAUUAAAUUCUCAUUUCCCAGAUUGUUUUCUUAAAUAUAAUUCCUUAAAUUCCGCGGCGAUUUUAAUCCACGACACUUACUGGUAUAUAAGAAAAACAAUUCUGGGAGUUCCUGUAGUGGCUCAGUGCAAACAAACCUAACUAGUAUUCAUGAGGACACAGGUUCGAUCCCUGGCCUCGAUCAGUGGGUUAAGGAUCCGGCGUGGCUGUGGCUGUGGUGUAGGCCAGCAGCUUUAGCUCCUAUUUGACCCCUAGCCUGGGAUCCUCCCUAUGCCAUGGGUGUGGCCCUAAAAAAAAGACAAAAAAAAAUUCUUCUGUUUUCAAAAUCAAUAUAAAGCCUACAGAUGUGACAUCUCCGAAUUUUAUGUUGUGGUUAACUGCCUUAUCCUAACAUCUGAUGAAUGUAUGUAUUUGUAAUGUUCUUUAGAUGACCUAUGCCUCUAACAUGUGGUUAGCUGGGAGACUAGGGCUAUAAGUGAAGUGCCCCAGACUGCUGGGUUUGAUCAAGCUCUCAUGCACUUUUGACCUCUUUAAAAGAGGAUUUUGCUCUGUCGAUAGCAUUUAAAAUUGACUUGUCCUUCAAGGUCUAGCUCAGUUCCUGCCUUCAGCCUAAAUCAUUGCCUGACCAUUUUUUUUGUUUGUUUGGGUUUUUUUUUUGCCUUUUCUAGGGCCGCUCCCAUGGCAUAUGGAGGUUCCCAGGCUAGGGGUGGAAUCAGAGCUGUAGCCACCAGCCUACGCCAGAGCCACAGCAACUCAGGAUCCAAGCUGCCUCUGUGACCUACAUCACAACUCACGGCAACGCCGGAUCCUUAACCCACUGAGCAAGGGUAGGGACCGAACCCGCAACCUCAUGGUUCCUAGUUGGAUUCGUUUCUGCUGCGCCACGACGGGAAGUCCAUUGCCUGACCAUUUAAGUUCUCACUGAGAUCUGCCCUCUGGAAUCACCUAAAGCCCUAUUACCUGUGCUGCUAUUAUGGCAUGUGGCUAUGUCAUCAUACACCAACAUGUAUUCACUGACUUUCAAGGGUCACGUGCUCUCUUUUCAGCUACCUACAUGGCCACCUAGCAUGGUGCUGGGUACGUGUGGAUGCUCCAUGGUAGAGCUGAGUCAAGUGGACUUAAUAGUCUUUUUCAUCAUUUCCCCUAUGGGCAAUAGAAUUUGCAUUAUUUUUUUUUUAUUUUUUUCAUUCACUGUUCCUUAGUAACCCAGAAGCAACUAGAAUGAGCUGCACGUUAGACAGUUCCUGGAAUAGGUUGGUCACUUGUGUUUUUUGGCUUAAAUGUCACUGCUCUGUCUCCUAUGGAAAAUGGGAGACAAAUUGCAUUCCUUGUGAUUGCAGUCAUUAGGGAAUUACCAGUGAAUAUAAAGAGAAAAAAUAAGCUAAUGGAAAAAAGAAAGAAAAGAAAUAGGGAAAAGGGUGAGAGGAAAAGAGAUGGAGAAGAGGCAAAGAACCACCCCCCCAAAAAAAACGGUAAGCCUACUCUCUGAUGUAAAUAAUGUUUCCUUUUUAAAUGACAAAACAUAAAGACUCCUUGCAAGUGCAUUUAAUGGCUGAUUCCUUGCACAUCUUAAUACUGUCUGCUCUUUGGGGAAUCGUAUGCAGAAAGAACUGCCUUUCCAGUUGGAAUUAGGAAUCAACUGGAAAGGCAGUUGCUCUAGGAGAAAGUAAAAGCAAAGCCUAGUAACACUGGUGCAUUGUAUGCGGCAGUAAGAAAAUGACAACUCAGAAUGAAGCAGACUUCUCUCUAUGUGAUCGGCUGGCUCUGCCCUCAAUGAGUCCAGGAGAUUUCGCCUUUUAUAGGUUGAGCUUCCCACUGGCAGCAACUAAAGCGGUUCAUUAUGCACAUCUGUCACGUGAUCCACUUCAUCAACCAAAUGGAACUGGGAGAAUAAGUCACCCUAACAAGAUCCUUCAGUGCAUUCCUAAAAACUACUUACAGAUGUACUCUUCCUCUGAGGGGAUACAAUGAGUUUCCUUGUACGGUGCUGCAUGAUACAGGAAGUGUAUUAUCCCCGUCCAAAUUCAGCCAUACCGGGAGGAAGCACGUGAAAAGAAAGCAGCUCACAAAAGCACACGCAGCUUUUGCAAAAGUCCUGAGAGGGGCUCAUACACCAAUUUAUGAUAACGGCAGAUAAAAUCCCAGGCCUCUGAAGCUCAGUUCAUUACAAAUGCUAAUGUCCACACAGGGAGAGCAAACCACAUCAGCAUUCAGCAUCAACACAAACCCCGAUAAUGCCUUUUAUUUAUGGUUGUCAGCCGAGUCCCCUCAGCACUGUGCCAGAUCUCCAUUCGUGCUGUAACUUUCACUCCUUUAUGUGCUUUCAUGACUAGCUAGGUUAUGUACCCAUAAGCGAUUUGUGCUUUCAAACUGUGCCUGGCGAGAUAAGCAGCCACACAUCCAAUCUUGAAAUCAGGAAUGAUUUUGUUCACAUUCAGAUCAGGUAGAGUGAAUGAUUUUGUCGAUGCAUCCAGGAAGAGUAAAGCCUGCCAUUGUUAAAUCUCCCCGUUUCCGUUGUUGUGAUCAAUUCAUCAUUCAUCGGAGCAGCCAGCAGAUAUUUACUGAAUACCUACUGUGUGCCAGGCACUGUUCCAGGCAUUGGAGAUCUACCAGUGAACAGAGUUCUACCAUCAAAAAGAUUACAUUCUAGAAGGGGGGGGGGGCAUAGGGGAGACAGCAAAUAAAUAGGUAAUAUGUCAGAGUGGGGCAGUUGGGACAGGCUAGUUAUUCUGUGGUAAUAACCCAAUAUCUCAGGGGCUUAAAACAACAAAGUUUAUCUCUCACUUACUCUGUGUUGCAUGCAGGUUGGCUGGGGGCUCUGCUCUGUGCAGCGUCACUCUGGGACCCAGGCUGCCCGGAGAAGCACCAUCUGGAGCAUGGCCAAUCUCUGCGGGAGAGGGAGAGGACAGAGGGGUGACCUGUGCGCUGGCUUCCUCCUGAAAGUGACACAUGGCCCUUGUCUCACAUGGCACUGGACAAAGCAAGUCACAUGGCAGUACGUGACUUCCAAAGGUAACGGACCUGCCUUGGCUGCAACAACCAGUGCUGGACCACCAUCCUACACAGAUACCCCUCUUACCCCACCUUGGCUCUGAAAUCUCCUCUUCCUCCUGCCUGGACUCCAGCAUCUCACACCCCCAUCACCCGACAUGGGGUCUGAAACCCAUGUACCAGGCUGCACCCUCUGCUGAGCCAUCCCCUCAGCAUACGUUGGCUCUGACCCUGAGCCAAGCCGACCCUCUGCAGGGGUCCCUCUGCUCCUGCUUGGGCCCAAUACCCACACAGGGCUCUCUCUCCUGAAGAUGCCCUCCUCACUCCACUUUUCUGGUGCUCUGAUGCUUUAAAGAUUUCUGUUACCGAUGUAUACAAUAUCAAUCUUUCCUCAAACUAGAGAAGUUUGUGCUUUUCUUUUUUUAAAAAUUUUAUGGCCACACCCACAGCAUAUGGAAGUUCCCAGGCCAGGGUUUGAACCUGAGCCAUACCUGUGGCACCACUGGAUCCUUAACCCACUGUGCUGGGCUGGGGAUAGAACAUGUACCUACACAGUGACCUGAUUCUUAACUCACUGACUGCACCACUGCAGAAGCUCCUGUGCCUGCAGUCUUUUUUUUUUUUUUUUUUUUUUUAGGGCCACAUUCCGGCAUAUGGAAGUUCCUAGCCUAGGGGUUCAAUCGGGGAUGCGGCUGCUGGCCACAGCAACAAGGGAUCCAAGCAGAGUCUGGGACCUACAUCACAGCUCACGGCCAUGCUGGAUCCUCAACCCACUGAGUGAGGCCAGGGAUUGAACCCGAGUCUUCAUGGAAACUAGUCAGAUUUGUUUCCACUGCACCAUAACAGGAACUUGCCUGUGCCUGUAUUCUUGAUAGUCCAUCAGUAAUAUCAUGUUUUCAUUUCAAUGAUGAUCUUUAAAAAACUUACAUAAUAAAAUAUAAGCUUAUCUGGGAUGUUCAUUUUAUAAGACAUACUUUUAGUGUAGGUAUUUUAUGCUGAAAAUUGUGUUGGUAUCACCUGGUUGUUAAUGUGGCAGUAUUUAACUUUUAAAGUGUUGGGACUUUAGAUUGGCAUUCCUGACAUCAAGAAACAAAAUGCAUCUUGAUUUCUGUUUGAUAAACAUUAUAUCAAGUUAUCUGACAAAUUACAAGGGUAAAACUGCUUUUCCAGUGAUGAGAUUUAUGUCUUAAUUUAUUUAAUAAAUUAAUUUUGACUUUCCAUCAAUUUUGACUUUCCAUCAUAAAAAUAACCAUGCUGCUUUAAUUGCCACAGGCUAAUGAGAAAAGAACCGGGCUGGCUGACUUAAUACACAAAUGAUGCAUUCAUGCAAAGUGAAGGCCAAAUGAAUCAUGGCACCAGAAUAAAUGAAGCCUUAUAGUAGUUCAAAUACAGGAAAGCGGAGAGAAAAUUGAGUCAUUACAGGUCUCUUGGUACCAUAGGUUGAACUGAAAGGAAGCUAGGCAGAGCAGUCACUUUAUUCGGAUUAUUGGCAGAUGUGUUUGUGUGUGUAUUGUGUGUAUUUAUAUGACAUACUAGCUGGCAAAUAUUCUCCAUGAAGAACUUCAGUUGGGAGCUUUUAAUAAUUAUCAAUAUUAUAUUUUGGAGAAAACCAUUUUAAAAUGAGUUUGGCCAAUUAAAAUAAUCAACUGGUGGUUUCAAAUGAGUAACCUGAUCAGAGGAAAAAUUAUUGUAGUUACAAUGAUUAUGAAUCAAAGGAUUUUCCGUCAUGCUCAAAAUCAAAUAUUUAGGUCAACAAUUGAGACAUUAAAUGCAUAAAAGUGUAAGUUUACACAUUUUAAUUACAUGCAUAUUUACAUGUAUAAAUUGUAAUUUAUAAUUACGUGUAAAUUGUAAUUAAAUCCAACAUUGGCUACUUAAUUUC